Molecule: non-coding RNA, 134 nt
Filed under: Robinsoniella peoriensis
Lineage: Bacteria; Bacillati; Bacillota; Clostridia; Lachnospirales; Lachnospiraceae
Source: RNAcentral
CUCUUGUUCCGUCAAGAGUAACCUAGCAACAAUGUAGGAUUGGUGACAAUCUUUCGUUAAGCUGUUGUGACAAUGAAUCCCUCUAAGUUGAGCCGUGAGGUCAAGACGUAACUGUCAGCAUCGGAUGGUAGGGA